Molecule: unclassified non-coding RNA, 240 nt
Filed under: soil metagenome
Description: partial contains 5.8S ribosomal RNA, internal transcribed spacer 2, and large subunit ribosomal RNA
Source: RNAcentral
AACGAGGCCGACCUGCGGCUGAGUUACCUGCGGAAGGAUCAUUACACAAUACAAUAUGAAGGCUGUCCGCAGCUGGAGUAUUUUAUUACCCUUGUCUUUUGCGCACUUGUUGUUUCCUGGGCGGGUUCGCUCGCCACCAGGACCACCAAAUAAACCUUUUUUAUGCAGUUGCAAUCAGCGUCAGUACAAACAAUGUAAAUCAUUUACAACUUUUAACAACGGAUCUCAGAUCGGAAGAGC